GGAUGUGAGCAAGAAUACAGAACUGUGAACUGAAAUAUUUGGGAACAGAUAUUGGAUAAGGAAGCUGUUUGGCAUCCAAAAACAGAAGUUUCUCCCAAACAGGAUAUUGGAAAAGGAAGGACUUCCCAGAAGGUGAAGUCAAGAGUCAUGAAGAACAAUAGACUAUGAAGCUACCUCCAGGAGACAAAAUUGAAGAUUGGUUAAACACAGUUCCUUACACUCAGAGCCUGACAUGGUGAUCAGCAAAUGAAAAGUGUUGCAUCAAUAUCUGAUGAAUGUAUGAGAAAGUCUUCACCUGAUACCACCUAGAUCCUACCAG
This is a long non-coding RNA of Globicephala melas (long-finned pilot whale), 319 nucleotides long. RefSeq lists it as uncharacterized. The record is from RefSeq and is a predicted model, not a curated record. Lineage: Eukaryota; Metazoa; Chordata; Mammalia; Artiodactyla; Delphinidae.